AACAAAAAAAAAAAAAAAAGAAGAAAUAAGAGUGAAAUUCUAGAGAGAGGAAGCUUUGGUAUUCAAGUCUAUGGAUAGAGAGAGAUAGAGAGAGAGAAAUGUUGGAUGGCCUGUGGUCAGCUUAUUACAAUUAUUGCAACAAAGAAGAUUGGGAGCAAACGGCGGGACAAUUUUAAUUAUUUUUUAAACAAAAACUAAUAUUUUUUUCCCACAAUAUUUUGAUUUGUGAAUUUGAAUAUCAACAACAUUGCAAACCAAGCUUCCAACUUUUAAUCUUUGUUUUUACACUUGUUGUCUUCUUUUUCUUCAGAUGCUAUGAUGUUCUUCCAUCCUUCCCACCCUAAACAUAGUUUUCAUCUUAAGCCCUCCAAUAGAAAAAUAA
Molecule: unclassified non-coding RNA, 382 nt
Filed under: Hevea brasiliensis (rubber tree)
Lineage: Eukaryota; Viridiplantae; Streptophyta; Magnoliopsida; Malpighiales; Euphorbiaceae
Source: RNAcentral